Molecule: non-coding RNA, 68 nt
Organism: Salmo salar (Atlantic salmon)
Lineage: Eukaryota; Metazoa; Chordata; Actinopteri; Salmoniformes; Salmonidae
Source: Rfam
GGUGGCUCAGUUGGUAGAGCAUGGUGCUUGCAGUGCCAGGGUUGUGGGUUAGAUUCCCACUGGGACCA